CCGGCACUUGCACUGAAAAUAGUACUAAAAUACAAGAUUUUGAUGUAUCAAAGUGUCCAGUUGAUGGCGGAUGGAGCUCCUGGUCGAACUCAACAUGUUCCGUCACAUGUGGAAACGGAACUCUGUCCAGAAAUCGAACUUGUGACAGUCCACUACCUUCCAGGGGCGGAAAAAAUUGUAAUGGGUCGAGUGUGGAUUCAUCAGAUUGCAGCUUAAGUGAUUGUCCAGUUGAUGGUCAGUGGGGUUCCUGGUCGACUGGACCAUGUUCUGUCACAUGCGGUAAUGGUAUUCGAUAUAGAAAGAGAAGUUGUGACAGCCCAUCAAAAUCUAACAAUGGACAAGAUUGUAUUGGUUCCAACAUAUUCACCGUAAUCUGUACCUUAGGAGCAUGUUCAGAAUCAUGUAAAGAAUCAGAAAAGAAACUAGAAUCAAAGAAAAUAUAAGCAAGAAAAUGGAAAAGAUAUCAGAAUAGAAAACUGAAUAGAAGAACAGAUACAAACAACAACUAACGUGUACUACAUGUUUGUCUUGUAACUUAGGGAAGAUGCAAGACAAUGGAAUUAUUUCUCGAAUAAAUUCAGAGGGAUUUUAUGAAUAAUCUAUGUUUUGUCUGAGAUUGCUAAUUAUUUACUAUGGGUUAUCUUUUCCUUCUUUAUUAUAUCUUAUUUGAACAAUGUUUUUGGUAGGUCUACAUCAAAGUGACUGAUAAUUUGCAUGCUUAAAACAACUGAUCUAUAUUUUACUAUAUGAAACUUCAACCAAUCUGUAUGAAUAUGUAUUUUGGAAUAACAGAUCUAAUCUAUUUUAUCUGGAUUUUAUUUUUU
This is a long non-coding RNA of Mytilus californianus (California mussel), 824 nucleotides long. RefSeq lists it as uncharacterized. NCBI's taxonomy places the organism in Eukaryota, Metazoa, Mollusca, Bivalvia, Mytilida, Mytilidae. The record is from RefSeq and is a predicted model, not a curated record. The transcript has 5 exons.